This 442-nucleotide ribosomal RNA is filed under the name uncultured bacterium. Its description in RNAcentral is "bacterial SSU rRNA". It matches the Rfam family "Bacterial small subunit ribosomal RNA", at positions 28 to 471 of the family's 1533-position model. The record is from RNAcentral.
GACGAACGCUGGCGGCGUGCUUAACACAUGCAAGUCGAGCGGUAAGGCCCUUUCGGGGGUACACGAGCGGCGAACGGGUGAGUAACACGUGGGUGACCUGCCCUCAGCUCUGGGAUAAGCCUGGGAAACCGGGUCUAAUACUGGAUAUGACUCCAUGACGCAUGUUGUGGGGUGGAAAGCCUUGUGCGGCUGAGGAUGGGCCCGCGGCCUAUCAGCUUGUUGGUGGGGUGANGGCCUACCAAGGCGACGACGGGUAGCCGGCCUGAGAGGGCGACCGGCCACACUGGGACUGAGACACGGCCCAGACUCCUACGGGAGGCAGCAGUGGGGAAUUGUUCGCAAUGGGCGCAAGCCUGACGACGCAACGCCGCGUGGAGGAUGAAGGUCUUCGGAUUGUAAACUCCUGUUGCUCGGGACGAAAUGCUCCAGCCUAACACGUUGG